CGCUGGCGGCGCGUCUUAAGCAUGCAAGUCGAACGGCAAGAUUGGUGCUUGCACCGAUCCUAGAGUGGCGGACUGGUGAGUAACGCGUGGGUGACGUACCCUAAGGAUGGGGAUAGCUGGUAGAAAUAUCAGAUAAUACCGAAUAUCCUUAUUGUUGUUAGAGGACAGUAAGGAAAGGAGCUUUGGCUUCGCCUAAGGAUCGGCCCGCGUACUAUUAGCUAGUUGGUGAGGUAACGGCUCACCAAGGCGACGAUAGUUAUCCGGCCUAAGAGGGUGAACGGACACAUUGGGACUGAGAUACGGCCCAGACUCCUACGGGAGGCAGCAGCUAAGAAUAUUCCGCAAUGGAGGAAACUCUGACGGAGCGACGCCGCGUGGAUGAUGAAGGCCGGAAGGUUGUAAAAUCCUUUUAAGCAAGAAGAAUAAACUUUACAGGGAAUGGUAGAGUGGUGACGGUAUUGCUUGAAUAAGCAACGGCUAAUUACGUG
Molecule: ribosomal RNA, 488 nt
Filed under: uncultured bacterium
Lineage: Bacteria
Description: bacterial SSU rRNA
Rfam family: Bacterial small subunit ribosomal RNA
Source: RNAcentral